UGGAAGUAAAAAGUCGUAAC
This 20-nucleotide ribosomal RNA is filed under the name Verticillium dahliae. RNAcentral's name for it is "partial 18S ribosomal RNA". The record is from RNAcentral. Lineage: Eukaryota; Fungi; Ascomycota; Sordariomycetes; Glomerellales; Plectosphaerellaceae.